Molecule: non-coding RNA, 80 nt
Organism: Gossypium hirsutum (cotton)
Lineage: Eukaryota; Viridiplantae; Streptophyta; Magnoliopsida; Malvales; Malvaceae
Source: Rfam
GCCGCUAUGGUGAAAUCAGUAAACACGCUGCUCUUAGGAAGUAAUGCUAGAGCAUCUCGGUUCGAGUCUGAGUGGCGGCA